RNAcentral lists this ribosomal RNA (606 nucleotides) under Triticum aestivum (bread wheat). RNAcentral's name for it is "partial small subunit ribosomal RNA". Lineage: Eukaryota; Viridiplantae; Streptophyta; Magnoliopsida; Poales; Poaceae. The record is from RNAcentral.
AUGAAAAGGGACGGAAAAGCACGACCAGAUGACUAUGAAUUUGGCAAGAUACAGGAGAACAUCGUAAACAACAGCAACACCAGCACACGACCAAACUGCUACCACCUCCACCCAAGCGCCGGCGUGAACCACGACAUAGUUUGCACAAGGUACCUGACAGACAACGCGACCCUGCGGACACUAGAGCAAGCAGAUCCAGCAGCCUCAAGUAGACUAGUCGAUGCCAACCGCACGAAUGAAAUCGUAGCCACAACAGAACCAAGAGAAAGGAGAAAAGGAAAGAAAGAAGAAGAAUACAAAGAGAGGAAGAGAAGAACAAAAUCAAGGGACAUGGGCAUUGACAAGAAGAAGAUAAAGAACGUACCAAUAGCACGCGAGGCCAAGAUGAACUCCAACAGCAGGAUGAUGUCAACAACCCCAAAAACAAGAAUGAACGCAACAAACAAAGCAACCUCACAACAGACAAUGCUACAAAAACUACCCCAACACAAGCACAAGAUACGAUCGACGUCAGAACCAGUGAAGAGGCUCAGCUGGAGAACAAUCAAGUCAGCAGUCCCGCCAACCAAAUGCAAGAGGCUGACCCACAAUCAACCGUUAGCAUAA